Molecule: ribosomal RNA, 253 nt
Filed under: uncultured bacterium
Lineage: Bacteria
Description: partial 16S ribosomal RNA
Rfam family: Bacterial small subunit ribosomal RNA
Source: RNAcentral
UACAGCGGGUGCGAGCGUUAAUCGGAAUUACUGGGCGUAAAGGGCGCGUAGGCGGUUAUAUAAGUUAGAUGUGAAAUCCCUGGGCUUAACCUAGGAACUGCAUCUAAGACUGUAUAACUGGAGUGCAGUAGAGGGUAGUGGAAUUUCCGGUGUAGCGGUGAAAUGCGUAGAUAUCGGAAGGAACACCAGUGGCGAAGGCGGCUACCUGGACUGACACUGACGCUGAGGCGCGAGAGCGUGGGGAGCAAACAGG